Molecule: ribosomal RNA, 497 nt
Filed under: uncultured bacterium
Lineage: Bacteria
Description: partial 16S ribosomal RNA
Rfam family: Bacterial small subunit ribosomal RNA
Source: RNAcentral
GAUGAACGCUGGCGGCGUGCCUAAUACAUGCAAGUCGAGCGAACGGACGAGAAGCUUGCUUCUCUGAUGUUAGCGGCGGACGGGUGAGUAACACGUGGAUAACCUACCUAUAAGACUGGGAUAACUUCGGGAAACCGUAGCUAAUACCGGAUAAUAUUUUGAACCGCAUGGUUCAAAAGUGAAAGACGGUCUUGCUGUCACUUCUAGAUGGAUCCGCGCUGCAUUAGCUAGUUGGUAAGGUAACGGCUUACCAAGGCAACGAUGCAUAGCCGACCUGAGAGGGUGAUAGGCCACACUGGAACUUGGACACGGUCCAGACUCCUACGGGAGGCAGCAGUAGGCAAUCUGCCGCAAUGGGCGAAAGCCUGACGGAGCAACGCCGCGUGAGUGAUGAAGGUCUUCGGAUCGUAAAACUCUGUUAUUAGGGAAGAACAUAUGUGUAAGUAACUGUGCACAUCUUGACGGUACCUAAUCAGAAAGCCACGGCUAACUACGUG